RNA transcript from Vigna angularis (adzuki bean), 370 nucleotides. It is a transcript of the gene named ATP synthase small subunit 6-A, mitochondrial, with no coding region annotated. The transcript has 3 exons. The record is from RefSeq and is a predicted model, not a curated record. NCBI's taxonomy places the organism in Eukaryota, Viridiplantae, Streptophyta, Magnoliopsida, Fabales, Fabaceae.
GUUUUCUUCAAGCGGGAAUGGAAGCGAAAUUGGCCCUUCCUGGUCGGAUUCGCCGUCACCGGAACUGUGAUCACCAAAUUUUCUCUUGGCCUAACUGAGGAGGACGCCAAAAAUUCAAAAUUCGUCCAGGCACACAAGAGGUGAUUUCGGAAUGGAAGAUUUGCACCGCCUUUGCACAUCGUAUUAGAUGUCUGAAGAGAGCUUUUCUUGUUUAAGUUUUACAAAUUGUAAUAAAUGAAGACGUUGUAUACAUUUCCAUUUCAGUUAUUUACUUAAUGUGAUUGAGGAAUCCAUACUAAGCAAUUAUGAAAUACUCAGCAGCCUUUAUCUGAAAAACAUGCUGUGCAUUCAAUUCUGAUUUUUUCACUUA